AACAAGAGGGGCCCCUUCUUCUGUACUGUCAAAAUCUCUACAGAUACACACAUACAUACGCUGGCCUCUCUCUCUCUCUCUCUCUCUCGAGAUUCAUCAUCAAUCUGUUCAUGAUUUCAGGGCCUCUGCUCGGUCCCAGACAGGCGGAGAUUUGAUUCCACCACCCGGCUUUCUCCCCGUACUAUUUCCUGGAAAAUCGAAUUCUGUUUCUUCCCCGAACAUGCCUCGCAUGAAGCUCAAGGGACAAUUUUAUAUGGGUCAGUGUUCAGACCCUUUGGAUCCUUUUCUUUGUUUCUUGUGUAAGACUUUUCUUCUGAGUGGGCUUCUCUAAGUAUUGAGACUCAACAUUCUCAGACAGGCCUUUGGCUUAGAUUUUGUGGAACACAGAGGAAAUAAAAGGUUCCCUUUUGUGGUAAAAGGAGCCGCCUGCUCUUUAUAAUUGUUGUGAACUUAAAUGAACAAGAGUGUGAUUGAAAUGGAAGGUGACAUAUAUCCAGGCACUGGCAAUGGUAUCCAAGUAGAUGGCAAGGUGUUGCAGACCUUUCAGAAGGGCUUUGUGCAGGUUCAGAACAUUCUGGACCAGAACAGGCUGCUGAUCAAUGAGAUUAACCAGAACCAUGAGUCCAAGAUCCCUGACAAUCUAUCCCGAAAUGUUGGUCUAAUUAGAGAGCUUAACAACAACAUUAGAAGGGUGGUUGAUCUUUACGCAGGCCUAUCCAGCUCUGUUGCCAAAUCCAGGGAAGAUUCCUCUGAAGGGGACUCAGGCAAGAGUGGUCAAAAGAGAAUAAGGUCUGGUUAAUCAAUCAAGUCAAGGCUGCCUUCGAUGACCGUAUCACACUUUGAACUGGUGUCAUCCAUCGCCUAAAUGAGUCGUCCAUCCCCUGAGUUAGGUCAUCCAUCGCUCGACUCAGUCGCAUGAGAUUCAUCCCUCUCUCGGGUGAGGUCAUUCAUCAACAGUUUCUCAUUUAUACAUUUAUUGUUGUAGCCGUACAACAACAAUUUAAAUUACAU
Molecule: RNA transcript, 1011 nt
Organism: Diospyros lotus (date-plum)
Lineage: Eukaryota; Viridiplantae; Streptophyta; Magnoliopsida; Ericales; Ebenaceae
Gene name: protein ELF4-LIKE 3-like
Exons: 4
Source: RefSeq, a predicted model, not a curated record